RNAcentral lists this long non-coding RNA (1273 nucleotides) under Piliocolobus tephrosceles (Ugandan red Colobus). RNAcentral's name for it is "lncRNA (ENSPTEG00000011263.1)". Lineage: Eukaryota; Metazoa; Chordata; Mammalia; Primates; Cercopithecidae. The record is from RNAcentral.
ACUACAGAAGGAUAACUUCUUUGCAGUUCAUUUAAUCGCAAAUUAAAAUUCAUGAUUUAACGCAUUGAAUGACAAAUAUGUUAUCACAUUUUAUACAUGUUCAUAUUUGAAGGACAUAAAAGAUAAUACAACUAUUAUAUUGUCCAGGAGGAUAUGAUUUAUACUCCAUGCAUUAAGCUCUUCGUUUCCUUCCCACACUCCCUUGAACAAUAAAUUAUUUUACGGUAUAUACAAUUUCACUGGAAUAUACAUACAUACAUACAUACAUACAUACACGCACGCACGCACAUAUACGAACACACAUAAAGAUGAAAUAUGUAACUCUGAUUGUUUUUAUAUGUUUUGUUACAUUAUGGAAAAAGAGUUAUACACAGGAUGAUAUAGAUUAUUCAAAUAUAAAUUGGGAGUAUGAUUUGUAUAGUAUAAGUGAUUUGCAUGGAGAUAUGAAUGCUUUGUUCAAAAUUUUAAAAAAUGAAAAGAUAAUUGACAAUAAUAAUAAUAUACUUAAAAAAAAUACGUUAAUUAUUAUAACAGGUGACAUUUUAGAUCCUAACUAUGAUGAUAUAAAUAUUUUAUUUUUUAUAGAAGAAUAUAAUGCUAAAGGGAAAAACAUGAACAGUAAAAUAAUUACGUUAUUAGGUAAUCAUGAAGUAAGCAAUAUGUGUUUAAAAUUUAAAAAUAGAAAAGGAGAUCAAAAGAAAUAUAAUAAUAGAAAUGAUAUGUUUAAAAAAAAUAAAUCUAUUUAUAACAUUUUGAUCAAUUAUCCUAUUGUCAUAAAAAUAAAUAAUAUUAUAUUUUCACAUGCAGGUGUCUUACCUUUUUAUGCUUAUUAUGGUAUAAAUUUCAUAAAUACAGAAGGUAAAAAAGAAGUAGAAAAUAACUGUAAAUUACUUAAUGAGAAAACAACAAAUUUACAAGAGUUAUGUAUCUGUUGUGAUUAUGGACCUACAUUAAACAGGUACUAUGCAUCAGUUAGUCAUAAUAUGUUUAAAAGAAAUAUGGUAUGUUCUACUUUAUAUAAAGUACUACGAUUAUUAAAAGCAAAUAAAAUGGUGAUUGGACAUACUGUACAAAUUAAUUAUAAAGUUAAUUCUUUUUGUGAUAAUAAAUUACUACUAACAGAUACUGGUAUAAGUCAAUCGAAAAACGGGAUAAUAUCUUAUGUGAAAUAUUUUUCUAAUGACACAUAUAAAGUAUUUUAUAUUGAUAGAUGAUAACAUUGGAUAUUUUGAAAUAUAAUAAAGUUUUUUUAUUGGGGGGGGGGUGGGGGUUA